AUUGAACGCUGGCGGCAUGCCUUACACAUGCAAGUCGAACGGCAGCACGGGAGCAAUCCUGGUGGCGAGUGGCGAACGGGUGAGUAAUACAUCGGAACGUGCCCAAUCGUGGGGGAUAACGCAGCGAAAGCUGUGCUAAUACCGCAUAAGAUCUACGGAUGAAAGCAGGGGAUCGCAAGACCUUGCGCGAAUGGAGCGGCCGAUGGCAGAUUAGGUAGUUGGUGAGGUAAAGGCUCACCAAGCCUUCGAUCUGUAGCUGGUCUGAGAGGACGACCAGCCACACUGGGACUGAGACACGGCCCAGACUCCUACGGAGGCAGCAGUGGGAA
RNAcentral lists this ribosomal RNA (329 nucleotides) under uncultured bacterium. Its description in RNAcentral is "bacterial SSU rRNA". It matches the Rfam family "Bacterial small subunit ribosomal RNA", at positions 30 to 360 of the family's 1533-position model. The record is from RNAcentral.